UGUAUCCACUCAGUCAAGUAGACCUGCUAGUGAUAGUGGUGGAGAUGUACCACUCAGUUAAGUAGGCCUGCUAGUGAUAGUGGUGGAGAUGUAUCCACUCAGUCAAGUAGACCUGCUAGUGAUAGUGGUGGAGAUGUAUCCACUCAGUUAAGUAGGCCUGCUAGUGAUAGUGGUGGAGAUGUAUCCACUCAGUCAAGUAGACCUACUCCAUGACCCACAGCAACGCAGUCUUCUCUGGACCAGUUUAUGCCAAACGUCUAUGUCUGUAGCAAAACGAGGCCAAAUUAAUAUUGCAUUGGCUAAAAUGAUUGCCACCGAUUUCCAGCCAUUUUCGAUCGCGGAGGACAGAGGUUUUAUAAAUUAUAGCAAUAGUCUGAAUCCAAUGUACACAAGUCCAAGCAGGAAAACCCUUUUAAAAUCCCUUAUUCCACAACUGUACGAGAGCACACAGUCUUCAAUGGGGGAAAGAGUCCAAAAAGCUACUGCAGUUUGCCUUACUACUGACUGCUGGACAUCAAGGAUAACCACUUCUUACACGUCACUUCAUUGAAGAUGGUUUGAUGUCUAGCGGUCUGUCUUCUGGACUGCUUUUGAGUUCAGCGACAGACACACCUCAGAGAACUUGGCAGAGGAACUGUUGAGAGGGGCCAGAGAACGCCAAGUAGAUGGAAAAGUGGUCUGUUGUCUUAGCGGCAAUGCAGCUAACAAAACCAAAGCAAUGAAAAUGUUUAAAUGGACCCAUCAUCCAUGUCUUCCCCACACAAAUGUCCUGAUUGUAAGAGAUGCUCUGGGGGUGAUGAAGCCCACUGUGGACAAAGUGAAAGCAGCUGUGGAAUACUUCCACAGGAGCACAGUAGGUGCUGAAAACCUAAAAACACAACGCUAGAUGGGAGAUGCCUGAGCUGAGGCCUAAACAAGACUAAACAAGACUACAAGGUGGAAUACAAUGUUUUAUAUGUUGAAGUGGUUUCUUGAGUCAAAGGAAGACAUCAUCUCUACCCUGGCCAUUGUCAAUAUACCUCCUGAUGCUCUGACCCAAGAGGAAUGGGAGGUGGUGGAGGAGGUGUGCAGAGUCCUGUUGAUGCUCUGACCCAAGAGGAAUGGGAGGUGGUGGAGGAGGUGUGCAGAGUCCUGUUGAUUCUCUGACCCAAGAGGAAUGGGAGGUGGUGGAGGAGGUGUGCAGAGUCCUGUUGAUGCUCUGACCCAAGAGGAAUGGGAAGUGGUGGAGGAGGUGUGCAGAGUCCUGCAACCCUUGGAGCAGGUCACUGUGGAGGUCAGUGGAGAGAGCUAUGUGACAGCCUCAAAAACGAUACUCCUGUGUCUGCAGGGUCUGCAGCCAAUCACAGCCAGCCGCCAGAGAGAAGCAAACGUAACCGCAGGACACGUGACAGAGUUGAUGGACACCCUAUGUUCAUCAAUGGACAGGAAGAUACACAGAAUGGAAUAUAAUUUAUAUAUACACUUUGUUUAUAUACAUUAAAAAGUUAUACUUUAAA
Long non-coding RNA from Oncorhynchus nerka (sockeye salmon), 1496 nucleotides. RefSeq lists it as uncharacterized. The record is from RefSeq and is a predicted model, not a curated record. Lineage: Eukaryota; Metazoa; Chordata; Actinopteri; Salmoniformes; Salmonidae. The transcript is spliced from 2 exons.